Molecule: microRNA precursor, 76 nt
Organism: Daphnia magna
Lineage: Eukaryota; Metazoa; Arthropoda; Branchiopoda; Diplostraca; Daphniidae
Rfam family: mir-965 microRNA precursor family
Source: Rfam
CAAAGCAAGGGAAAGGUUAUAGCUCUUAUGUGUCUUAUUUUGAUUACCAUAAGCGUAUGGCUUUUCCCCUGCAAUG